This 73-nucleotide transfer RNA is filed under the name Sphaerodactylus townsendi. Its description in RNAcentral is "tRNA-Ala". It matches the Rfam family "tRNA". Rfam says of the family: Transfer RNA (tRNA) molecules are approximately 80 nucleotides in length. Their secondary structure includes four short double-helical elements and three loops (D, anti-codon, and T loops). Further hydrogen bonds mediate the characteristic L-shaped molecular structure. tRNAs have two regions of fundamental functional importance: the anti-codon, which is responsible for specific mRNA codon recognition, and the 3' end, to which the tRNAs corresponding amino acid is attached (by aminoacyl-tRNA synthetases). tRNAs cope with the degeneracy of the genetic code in two manners: having more than one tRNA (with a specific anti-codon) for a particular amino acid; and 'wobble' base-pairing, i.e. permitting non-standard base-pairing at the 3rd anti-codon position. Lineage: Eukaryota; Metazoa; Chordata; Lepidosauria; Squamata; Sphaerodactylidae. The record is from RNAcentral.
GGGAGCCAUGGCUCAGUGGUAGAGCAUCUGCAUGGCAUGUAGAAGGUUCCAGGUUCAAUUCCUGGCACUGCCA